AUAGUAACUCAUUCGGCUUCCAUAACCCCAACUAAGAGAUUUAGUUACCCAUGAAUGCGAAGGAUAUCACGUUUUGCAUGGUGGAUGGCGUGAAUAGUAGGUGUUUGGCGUGUGGUUUUAGUGAUUCCGUAGCAAGUAACGAUUCUCUUGUUGUGGAAUUUAAGAGUAGAAGAAUGAAGAAUUGAGAAUGGGUUGUAGGAAGAUGUCUUAAUUGUAAGGAGAUGAAUGAAUUGUCAGAAUGUCUCCCUUCUUGAAAAUCUCUAACAUGAUAGGGUAUUUAUAAUACUCCUAUCCUACUCCUACUAAACUAAUAAAAUAAAUAACCAAAUCCUAAUAUACUAAUGAAAUCCUUGACCCAAUUGUACUAGGGUAAGGUUACAAAAUUAUAAUCCAAAUAGAAUGAUGAAACACAUAACCUAAUUGCACUAGGUUAAUGUAUUAUGGCAAAAAUCCAGCUUUGUGUCUGUAAGUCCCAAAGUCUUCAGAAAUGCUGUUUUAGCCCGGGACAGAUUUUCCAUGCAGCAGAUUUAGUCCUUUAUGCGUCCAGCUCCUUUCCAUCUCGUUUGUGAGCUUUCUUUUGCGUCAAGUAAGCCAUAAAUUGCUGUAUUUUGCAUCAUUUAUACCUGAAACUUUCCUAAUCACAUUUGUUAGCUCAUUUACAGGAAAAAGGACUAAAAGUGUACGAAAUAGAUAAUUAGUUCUCGAAACUAGGCUAAAAUAUGGGCAAAAUAUAUUGAUAUAGGCGCGUAAUUUCGCCUAUCAUCAACACCCCACACUUAGAGCUUUGUUCGUCCUCGAACAACAUAUCAUGUCCUUCUAAGCAUUGACUUAAGGUUUUUACAGAAACAACACAAAACAUUCUUCAAGACAAGCACAACAAUUAUCAACGAAGAGUAGCUUUCCGAUUAUAAGUAGAAACAAUUUAACCUCAAGCAUAGACUCGUGAUGGUGAUCAACUCGCAUGCAAACGUUUAAGGUACAUAGAAUCAUAUACAACUAUCCAAAACUCAUCAACCAUGUGUGUCUCACAAUAUAGUACCCAUAAUCACUCACAAGUAUAGCAUAUUUUUCAAACAUGGGCAGCAAAGUAUCCUUGCGCUCACUCUCACAAAGAAUUCAUAUGUAGCAGCUAAUGACCAUAGGCUUGCCCUUAAUGUAGUACUCCACUAAAUGUCGGAAUGUUAAGGUUAGGAUCAAGUAGGUCUUUUGAUGGUUGUAAUGUAGGCUAAGGGACGGGUAGGAUCAACUAUUUUGGCCAGAAAUAGUGACUAAGUUCCUAAGCACUUUAAUACAUCACAUUGUAUUAUUGACACUUUUUUUGUAGCACCCUUGUUCUCCUCUUUUGUUUUUCAAUUUUAAAGCACAACUCACUUUUCAGCUUUCUUUUCCUUUUUCUUCUCACAACAUACCUCUUAUGAUAGCACUUUCUUUUUCAUAACAUAUUCAAGCACCAUUACAAUUUAAAGCAUCAUACUCAACCAAUUUCCUCUUAUGUUGUCACAUGACUUUUUUACUUUAAAGCACUUAGGAAUUUGGAUCAAAUUACGGUCUUGAAAAAAAAUGAAUUAGGCUUACAUACAAGGUUGUCAAAGAAAUAGGCUAAAGGCUCAAAAGGGUUUAACUAGGAUGAUGUCCAUGGGUAGGUAAAACUGAAGGUAAACAAAUAUAGGUUGCCAAAGAAAUGCCUAAAUCAUAUCCUAAACUUACACUCCUUAUUUUCGCUUUGCAUACAUACCAGGCAAGUUCUAGCAUCAGCCACAUACAUAGAAUAUACUAUUAUCUCACACACACAAGGCACAUGGUCGACUUGAUUGGUAGCAAUAUAGACUCUCAACCCAACAAGUGAAGGAAUUGAAUCACACACUAUCACAUAAUGAGUCACAACUAGAGCCUAAAUGUCUCAAUAGUCACAAUUGUAAUACAUACUAUUGUUAUAAUCUCAUGCUGCCUAUUAAAAUAAUUUCAUGCGAGGCUAGAAAAAUUUUAACUACUAAAAACUAAAAAAAAACGUCACACGAAAAAAAUCACAAAAAAAAUCGGACUCAAAACAAAAUAAAUAAAACAAAAUAAACAAGCAAACAUACAAAUAUAGCAUGCAGAUUCUGCCGACACCCCACACUUAGACUAGACACUGCCCUCAGUGGAAAAUAAAGUCGAAGAACCUGAUUAGUCGGACUCUUCCUCAAUGUCAUACCCCCUUCGUUCGAGUCAUCGUAAGAGUCAUCGUCAGAGUUCUCCUCAGCAUCAGAAUCAGGCAAGCGUCUAUCAUCAUCAGUUGGCACGUCAUCAUCAAGAGGUUCCUCGAAAUAUACUCCCACUCCACACAUCUCCCGGGCAUGUCUGUUCAUUGGGUAGUCGUGGUCCAGCUGUUGGAGCUCUUCAGCAGUUGGAAUACGUCCACCACUCAUCAUAGUGAAUCUCGUCAUGCCAUAGAGAUGACGGAAGAAACUCUCGUCACGAGCAUGUCUCUCCGCAGUGGUAAGGUUGACUCCAUGCGUUGUUUCAGCAUCUUUGACCUUGGUGAGGUCAACCUUCUUUGGGGUAUGUGGGAGUUUGUGGUCAGCUGGUUCCUCUUCUAUAUCCUCCUUCCGCAACAUUGCUGUCAACAAAUUGCCGAAUGUGAAAUAGGACCUGCUGUGGAGUCUGGCUUUCCUCAUGGUGGAUCGAAUGAUUGCCCCAAAGUUGAUAGGGACAUUCGUCAUUAAUGAAUAAACCAGGCACACUCUAUCUCUCGAUAUCUUUGUGUAUUGCGUCCCAGGAAUGAGGCAUGAGUUGACAAUGCGCAUCCAGAUUCUUGCUUCCCUAUUUAGUGGAGCAUAGGGGAAUGUGUUGUGACGGCCUGUUUCCUUAUGUCUGCCCCAUCUCGCCAUCGAUCUGCUUCCACAAAGCGUGUGUCUUAUAGCUCUGUAAGGAGGUCUGCUGUACAGCUCUUUGUAUGGUGCAGUGUCGACCGAAGGUAGGCCUAGAAACGAGUUGAUCCAAUCCGCUGUAAGCUGUAACACUUGGCCCCGAAUUUUGACUUCGUUGCCUGUUGUGUUUGGCGACCAGUUGGCAUAAAACUCUCUUGUCAAGUCAAGAUUGCACUCUCCCAUGUCACGGAAGAUGAAAUCCAGCUUCAAAGCCAUAAUCUUAGCCAACAUUUGCGGCUCCUUCUUUGCUAAGGUCUCCUUAUUGAUUAAGUCGACGUGCACAUAUUUCUUUUCUUUGUUGCUGCUGUACCAUGCCUUGGCUUCUUCCUCAAGAACCCAUUUGAUUCCGAACAUUCUGCGUGGUAGGUGUGCGGAAGAUGAUUCGCCUUGGUCUUUUCGGCUUCUCUUUUUGUCCUUGCGGGUUGUGGUAGCCUUCUCCUUGCCUUGCCUUGCUUUCGGUGCCAUUGUACCUGAGACUAGAAAUAAUGUUAGAUGCGGCACAAUCGCACUUUAGACAAUUCUAUAUGCAAGCAUUAGGGGUACCACCCCACACUUAAUCUUGUUAGCAAAAAUCAGUGAAGUGAAAGUGGUCGAGUACUCAGACUUCGUCGACAUACGUCCUCGGAUUGUAUUCCGACAAGAAAAUCAGCAUGACAUCACUUAUGAACAGCCAUUUGGACGUCUUUCAUGGUGCAUAUAGCGAUACUAUAACAUAGGAGUUACCACAUGGAAUUGCUAUUCGAACAACCAACACUACCUCCUACGUGGAUAGUCACUAUAACCGUAUCCCGAUGGCCGGGGUGGUGAAUCAUGCAAGCAUCCAAACAACACUUUCAAGCAAUAUUCAUAGCCAUAUAUGUUCAGCAAGUAUCAUAACAAUGCCAUUGAAACAAAAUUCAAGUCGGAAACAAGUCAAGAAUUGCAUUCGUAUUCAUUCAAUCAUACGAUUUUUGCAACAAUUAUCCAAGCACAUGAACAUCACCACUAAUCUCACGUGAUUUAGCAUUUAAUAAUAAGCAUAGUAAAGUAGUACUCAUGAUAAAUAGAUGAAGAAUAAGAGAGCACUUACUUGCUUGAAGAUUGUGGAGAAGUUGUUGUGGAUUGGAAGAACAAAGGAAGAAAAAUUUGAGAGGAUUUGGGAUGAUAUGCGGCGCCUUUAGGGUUGAUUCUAAUGUGUUUGUGAAAUAAAAACAAGUCCCCUUUAUAUAGGAGGAGUAUGGGUCGGGUUAUGACCCAUUUACAAUCGGAUUUGGGGACAAAAUCACCCUAUAUGCGGCGCAUAUCCCUCGGCAUAUCACAUGUAUAUGCGGCGCAUUGUCCAUGGCAUAAUGGGACAUAGGCGGCGCAUAGUCAAAAGCACACCUAGGAAUAGGCGGCGCAUAGGGUAUAGCACACUAGAUUCCGAGUCCUUAGGCUAUAGAAUAGGUUGUGCAUCGUUCGUGGCCUAUUUUUACCAAGGCCUAGCCUUCCUCGAAGCCUAUUAUGACGUGAGAAAGGCUCAAUUCAUAGCCUUAUGCAUCACCAUUCCUAACUUACCGCCUUUACCAUACGACGCGACCAAAUCGUCAAUUGAAAUCAAUCUCCUCGUUGCAUACUUCUUACACCUAUAUUUGCUCAAACAAAUGAAAACGAUUAGUACGAUGGGUUGCCUCCCACCAAGCGCCUUAGUUUUGGUCGUGGCACGACUCUUAUUUUUGGAUUUUCAUUUAUCAAAAAGAAAAAAUACUAAAACGACAAAACGAUAAAACAAUAAAACGAAGGGUUGCCUCCCAUCUAGCGCCUUAUUUAUUGUCGUGGCUCGACGUAGUAAUCUCGAGUACUUAGACUUCGUCGAGAUAAGUGAUGGCCAUGUCAUUUAUCGAGUCAAGAGGACCGAUAUAUGGCUUAACACGUUGGCCAUUCACCUUGAAGAUAACACCCUCAUUAUUUUCCAAUUCGACUACUCCAAACGAGUAGACGUGGGUGACUUUAAAUGGACCAGACCACUUUGAUUUUAACUUACCUGGGAAGAGCUUGAAUCUGGAGUUAAAGAGUAGCACCAUGUCACCUUUUUGGAAGUGUCGUCGAACAAUCCGCUGAUCGUGAUACUUCUUCAUCCGCUCCUUGUAUAAAUCUGAUCUUUCAUAAGCAUGGAGACGGAAUUCAUCUAGCUCGUUCAGCUGCUCCAACCUCAGGUUCUUCACAUCAUCCCAAUUCAGAUUCAAGUGCUUCAAUGCCCAUAAUGCCUUGUAUUCAAGCUCGAUGGGUAGAUGACAAGCCUUCCCAUAAACUAGCUGAUAAGGUGACAUGCCAAUGGGUGUCUUGAAUGCAGUCCUAUACGCCCAUAGUGCAUCAUCUAGCUUCCGAGACCAAUCCUUCCGAUUCGCAUUGACCGUCUUGGCAAGGAUUUGCUUGAUCUCCCGAUUGGAAACCUCUACUUGUCCACUAGUUUGGGGAUGAUAAGGCGUAGCUACCUUGUGUUGCUUGACUCCAUACUUGGCCAAUACAGAUUUGAAUAGCUUGUUGCAGAAGUGAGAUCCUCCAUCACUUAUGAUAGUACGAGGUACCCCAAAGCGAGAGAAGAUAUUCUUCUUUAAAAACGCUACAACACGCUUUCCUUCAUUAUCGGCCAAUGCUACAGCUUCAACCCAUUUCGACACAUAAUCCACAGCAACCAAGAUGUACUUCAUUCCAAACGAAUUUACGAAUGGUCCCAUGAAAUCAAUACCCCAUACAUCAAAGAGUUCUACCUCCAGGAUUGUGGACAUGGGCAUUUCAUGGUGUUUUGAAAUAACACCUUGACGUUGGCAUUGGUCACACCUUCUCACAUAGUCGUGUGCAUCUCUGAAUAUUGUAGGCCAAUAAUAACCACUUUGCAAGACUUUUCUUGCUGUUCGAUUACCCGCAUGAUGUCCUCCAACUUGCGAAGUGUGGCAUGCUUCUAAUAUAGUGGGCACUUCGUCAUGGGAUAUACAUCGUCGAAUGAUACCAUCCGCACAUCUUCGAAACAAAUAAGGCUCAUCCCAAUAAUAGUGCUGAACGUCAUGCAUAAACUUCCUCCUCUGGUGGUAAGAUAAAUUUGUAGGUAACACAUUACUCACCACGAAAUUCGCAAAGUCGGCAUACCAUGGUAAGUCUUCUAUUGUUGUCGCUAAUAUCUCCUCGUCAGGGAAUGCAUCGCCAAUCUGAUUUUCUGAUUGCGCCACAUACUCAUUCUCAAGUCUAGAUAGGUGAUCAGCCACUUGGUUCUCGCAACCUCUUCUAUCUUUGACUUCGAAAUCAAACUCUUGCAGCAGCAACACCCAUCGAAUCAGCCUUGGUUUUGCAUCCUUCUUUGUCAUUAGAUACCUAAGAGCUGCAUGGUCUGUAUGAACGAUCACUUUAGUACCUAAUAGGUAGGCGCGGAACUUCUCAAACGCAUACACAACCGCUAAUAGCUCUUGUUCAGUGACGGUGUAGUUCCUUUGGGCUUCAUUGAGGACCUUACUCGCAUAGUAGAUAGGAUGAAAUAAUUUCUCCUUUCUCUGUCCAAGAACAGCACCAACGGCUACACCACUAGCAUCACACAUGACUUCGAACGGGAGCGUCCAAUCUGGUGUUACCAUGAUAGGGGCUUCAACGAGUUUUUCUUUAAGGCAUUCAAAUGCCUUUAAGCAAUCAUCAUUAAAGUCAAACUUCGCAUCUUUCUCCAAUAGCUUGCAUAAUGGACUAGAAAUUUUGGAGAAGUCUUUGAUGAAUCUACGAUAAAACCCAGCAUGGCCAAGAAAACUACGAACUCCCUUCACCGAAAUUGGAGGUGGUAGCUUCUCAAUUACCUCUAUUUUGGCGCGAUCAACCUCUAUUCCUUUUUCGGAGAUCUUGUGCCCAAGAACAAUUCCUUCUUUUACCAUGAAGUGGCACUUCUCCCAAUUCAGCACAAGGUUGAACUCUACACAUCUUUGUAAUGCCAUGCUUAAAUUCACCAAACAUGCUUCGAAAGACUCCCCAACAACUGAAAAGUCGUCCAUAAAUACCUCCAAAGUGUCUUCUACCAUAUCAGAGAAAAUAGACAUCAUACAUCGCUGAAAGGUGGCUGGUGCAUUACAUAACCCGAAUGGCAUACGUUUGAAGGCAAACGUACCAUAUGGGCAUGUAAACGUUGUCUUCUCUUGGUCUUCUGGUGCAAUAAAAAUCUGAUUAUAACCUGAAUAACCAUCAAGAAAGCAAAACCAUCCUUUUCCCGCUAAUCGAUCUAGCAUUUGGUCCAUAAAUGGCAUGGGGAAGUGAUCCUUGAGAGUCCAAGAAUUCAGCUUGCGGUAGUCCAUGCAUACUCUCCAUCCAGUGACGGGCCUGAGUGGAAUAAGCUCAUUCUUUGCAUUCGCAACCACCGUCAUACCUCCUUUCUUGGGAACACAUUGUACUGGGCUUACCCAUGUACUAUCAGAAAUAGGAUACACAACUCCUGCGUCUAACCACUUGAUAAUCUCCUUCUUCACCACCUCUUGCAUUGGUGGGUUUAGACGUCUUUGGUGUUCGAUGGUGGGUGUGCACUUUUCUUGGAGCUGAAUUUUAUGAGUGCAAAUUCCAGGUGGAAUACCAAGGAUAUCCGCAAUGGUCCAUCCAAUAGCUCUAAUAUACUUGCGUAAAAUUGCAAUAAGAGCUGCAACUUGUUGCUCACCUAAAUCGGCUGCCACUAUGACUGGAAGAGUGUUUCCGCUUCCUAAGAAUGCAUACUUCAAAUGGCUUGGCAGCUCCUUUAAUUCUAAUGUGGGUGGUUCUUCAAUAGAUGGCUUAGCUGGUGGUGUGGGUCGAUUCUUGAGAUCAAUAUCCAGCUUCUUAGGAGGAUAGCGAUAUGCUCCUAAUCCCGAUAGAGCACAAAUAUCAUCUUCAGAAAUUUCAGCAUCAUCAUCAUCUUCUUCCAUGAGCAAAACCUCCAAAGGAUCAUCAAGAAUUUGUUCUUCAGCAAGUAACUCAUCCUCGUCAUCAACGACAACAUCAGUCACAGAAAAUACACUUAGAUCUUUGGGUUGCUUCAUUGAUUUGCAAACAUCAAAGCGCACCACUUCAUCAUUUAUUCGGAAUGAAAGUUCAUUAGCUCUCAAAUCUAUGAGCACACUUCCCGUAGCAAGGAAAGGGCGUCCCAAGAUUAUGGGAACCUCUGAAUCUGCUUCGCAAUCCAAGAUGACAAAGUCUGCUGGAAAUAUGAAUGAAGAUACCUUCACCAAGACAUCGCAUAGAAUACCAACCGGUCGUUUUACCGACCUAUCCGCCAUAACAAGCUUCAUAUUAGUUGGUGUAGGAUCUCCCAACCCCAACUUCUUGUAGAUUGAUAAUGGCAUCAAGUUGAUGCUGGCUCCUAAGUCACAUAAUGCUUUAGCAAAGUCCAAAGAUCCGACGGUGCAAGGAAUAGUGAAAGCUCCGGGGUCGGCCUUCUUCUGAACUAUGGAUCGGGUAGCUAUUGCACUACAAUGAUGCACAUCUUCUUUCAGCUCAUAGCUUGCUGCCCUCUUCUUAGUCAAAAGAUCUUUCAUAAACUUCGCAUACCCAGGCAUUUGUUCAAGUGCCUCUACCAAUGGGACAUUAAUAGUCAGCUGCUUCAAGAUGGUCAUGAACUUGCUGAACUUAGUGUCAUCGGCCGCCUUCUUCAGUCUUUGUGGAAAAGGUGGUGGUGGGUAUGGAAGUGUUCUUUCCAUGGCUUUCUUCUCCUCUUGCUUCCGUUUAUUACUUUUUUCAGGCUGCACGUCACUAGGCAACACGUCCUUGACGUUGGAAGUGGAUAUUGCGGCGUCUUCCCUAGUGGCGUCACUAGGUGUGGCGGUUGUGUCUGCUGUUCUGUCAACUAUUUGCUUGCCUUCUGCUGAAGUUUCCAGCACCUUACCACUCCUCGUAGUGAUGGCCAUGCAUGACCCAUCAGUCCUUGGAUUUUGCACCGUAUCGCUAGGCAAGGUGCCGGCUUUUCUUUGGUUGAGUGUUGCUGAAAGUUGACUGAAUUGCUGCUCUAGUUGCUUGAUAGAAGUGGAAUGAGAAUCAACUAAUUGCUUCAUGGAGGCCAAAUCGUCAAUCACCUCCUUAACUCCCGCAUUCGUCGCUUCCACUCCUUUCAAUAACUUAGCCAUCAUGUCUUCCAUAGAAUUAGAUGUGGUGGUAUCACGUCUACCAGGGGGAACGUACAAACCACUGUUUUCAUUAUUUUUCUUCCAACUACCUUGGUCUUUACCUCCAGAUUUGUCAUAAUAGUUCCGACCUUGGUUUCCUUGGGCAUUCCCACGGAAACCCCCCUGAUUGUUCAAGUAGUUGGCCUCCUCUUCUGAAUCAGAUUCGUCUCUUCCUUUUGACGCAAUAGAUUUCACUUUUUCAGUCUUCCCUAAUAGAUGCUUUGUAAGAAGAUCCAUUUGGGUUUUCAUGUGCGCCAUAUCUUGAUCACGUUCUUCUUCUCUCCUUCUUUGAUCUGCAGACAUGCCAAUAGAUAAAGUGGGGCUUGCUACCUCAGAAUCCCUGGUAUGCCAAGCUCUACUUUGUUUCGUCAUACGAUCUAGCAUGUUGCUUGCUUGACCAAAGGUGAGGUCCAUAAAAGAACCUCCAGCUGCGUUGUCCACCACUGGUUUAGUUACUGAAUUCAAGGCUCUAUAUAAGAUCUCCAUGAGGUGAACAUUAGUCAUGUGAUGGUUUGGGCAUCUCGCUAGCUUUGUCUUGAACCUCUCCCAUGUUUCGUGAAGAGCUUCAGAGGGAAGCUGACGAAAGUUGCUGAUUUCAUCUCUCAAUUGAGCCCUCUUGGAUGGCGGAAAGAAUCUUUCUAGGAAAGCGUCUCUCAAUUGCCUCCAAUUUGUAAUAGAAUCAGGAGUCAGCCCAUUCAACCAUAAUGUUGCCUCCCCAGACAGAGACAAUGGAAAUAGACGUAAUCGAAUAGCAUUCUGACCAACUCCAGGAUUGUCAAAAGACUUGCAUGUAGAAAUAAAGUUGAUGAGAUGCAUAUUCGGAUCAUCGCCUGCUAGUCCACCAAAUAAUCCCUUGAGUUGCAAUAACUGAAUCAUGGUGCUAGUGAUGUUGAACUUGGCUCCGGGCGCUAAUGGUGGUGGAAUUAUAGCUCCAGUGGCUCCGGCACCAUCAAGAUCAUCAUCAUCAUCGUCGAAAGCUGGUUGCAAAGGUUGGCGAUCAUAUCUGUACCGAGCUUGUCGACCUCGUCUGUUGGUAGGUGUUGCCAUUUCAGCGCCAUGCCUUGGGUUGAUCAACUCGUCAUCUCCUAAAUCUUCAUCGUCAGGAUUUGUUGCUCGUCCAGGAUUAUCAAUGUUUUGUUGUUGGACUUGAGCAGCGGCAAGAGCAGCUAAUCUUGCUUGCUCAUGUUGAGCAGCCAUCCUGUCGAUUUCCGCUUGUGCUUCCAUUCUUCUGAUUCGUUGUGGUUCCGGAUUGAUUGGUAAUAACGGUUGACCAGAACUUCUAGUAUGGGGCAUGCACUAAAAGAAAAACCUGCAAUAAACAAAAACAAAAACUAAACGUAAAAGUACGAGAAUCUUUGACCAAAGGGUCUAGUAAUUUUCACGAACUUGAUUGACACUCGUAUUCCCCGGCAACGGCGCCAAUUUUUGAUAACGCUCAAUCUACAGCUCUCGUGGGAGUGUAAAGCGGUCGUUAGCAAAUAUAGAACCCAACCUGGGUUGGGUAUCGAUCCCACAGAGAAUAGCUUGGCCAACAAGCAAGAGAAAUUACUAGACUUUUAGUGCAAGUCUCGUAGGAAAGGGGGGAUUGUAGUAUGUAACCAAAACAAGAAUGUAAGAACUGAAAAUAGCAAAAUAAAGAGAGAUUGUCACGUGUGUUGUAAACAAUGAGAAUUGAGGCGUUGGGGUUAUGUCCACCUUCUGAGGUAUACGUCUCUAUUGGCUAUGAGUGUGUAGAGUCUUGACAUGUAAUUGCUUAUAGAGAAUUGUAGUCGAUGGUAAAUCCAAGCGUCUCUCGACCUAAACAAGGACUAUUUCACUUUAACUCUCUCGAGCUUAAAGCGUGACUAACGGUACGAAUUCUCCAAGAAGUUAGUCCAGGUACGGCACUAGCUUUUUAAUAGGAAAGGGUGUCCUACUACCUUGACAUUAUCUCUUUUCCAGACAAAUAACUUUUCUCUCGAACAAGUCAGAUGUUAGACUGGCGUUGGUCUAUGCGUCUUCUUUUCUAGACAAAUAACCUUUCUCUCGAACAGGUUAGAUGUUAGAAUGGCGUGUUCUUGUGUUUGAACCGCAAAGAAUGUAGAUUUAAGAUGAAGAGAAUAAUGAUAUAAGCAAUAUACUUGUCUUGAACUCACAAACUCAUAGCUAUAGAUAGUAACUCAUUCGGCUUCCAUAACCCCAACUAAGAGAUUUAGUUACCCAUGAAUGCGAAGGAUAUCACGCUUUGCAUGGUGGAUGGUGUGAAUAGUAGGUGUUUGGCGUGUGGUUUUAGUGAUUCCGUAGCAAGUAACGAUUCUCUUGUUGUGGAAUUUAAGAGUAGAAGAAUGAAGAAUUGAGAAUGGGUUGUAGGAAGAUGUCUUAAUUGUAAGGAGAUGAAUGAAUUGUCAGAAUGUCUCCCCCCCCUCUUUAAAAUCUCUAACAUGAUAGGGUAUUUAUAAUACUCCUAUCCUACUCCUACUAAACUAAUAAAAUAAAUAACCAAAUCCUAAUAUACUAAUGAAAUCCUUGACCCAAUUGUACUAGGGUAAGGUUACAAAAUUAUAAUCCAAAUAGAAUGAUGAAACACAUAACCUAAUUGCACUAGGUUAAUGUAUUAUGGCAAAAAUCCAGCUUUGUGUCUGUAAGUCCCAAAGUCUUCAGAAAUGCUGUUUUAGCCCGGGACAGAUUUUCCAUGCAGCAGAUUUAGUCCUUUAUGCGUCCAGCUCCUUUCCAUCUCGUUUGUGAGCUUUCUUUUGCGUCAAGUAAGCCAUAAAUUGCUGUAUUUUGCAUCAUUUAUACCUGAAACUUUCCUAAUCACAUUUGUUAGCUCAUUUACAGGAAAAAGGACUAAAAGUGUACGAAAUAG
Molecule: long non-coding RNA, 11867 nt
Filed under: Capsicum annuum
Lineage: Eukaryota; Viridiplantae; Streptophyta; Magnoliopsida; Solanales; Solanaceae
Description: long non-coding RNA (CANN_LNC002827)
Source: RNAcentral